Molecule: microRNA, 23 nt
Filed under: Haemonchus contortus (barber pole worm)
Lineage: Eukaryota; Metazoa; Nematoda; Chromadorea; Rhabditida; Trichostrongylidae
Also listed under: 1 other name
Description: hco-miR-5352
Source: miRBase by way of RNAcentral
UUGCACAUGAUGUACGACCUGCA